AACUUUCAACAACGGAUCUCUUGGUUCUGGCAUCGAUGAAGAACGCAGCGAAAUGCGAUAAGUAAUGUGAAUUGCAGAAUUCAGUGAAUCAUCGAAUCUUUGAACGCACAUUGCGCCCAGUGGUAUUCCACUGGGCAUGCCUGUUCGAGCGUUAUU
RNAcentral lists this ribosomal RNA (156 nucleotides) under Pezizomycotina sp. Vega414. Its description in RNAcentral is "5.8S ribosomal RNA". It matches the Rfam family "5.8S ribosomal RNA". Rfam says of the family: 5.8S ribosomal RNA (5.8S rRNA) is a component of the large subunit of the eukaryotic ribosome. It is transcribed by RNA polymerase I as part of the 45S precursor that also contains 18S and 28S rRNA. Lineage: Eukaryota; Fungi; Ascomycota. The record is from RNAcentral.